GACGAACGCUGGCGGCGUGCUUAACACAUGCAAGUCGAACGGAAAGGCUCCAGCUUGCUGGAGUACUCGAGUGGCGAACGGGUGAGUAACACGUGGGUAAUCUGCCCUGCACUCUGGGAUAAGCCUGGGAAACUGGGUCUAAUACUGGAUAUGACCUUUCUCCUUAUGGGGUUUGGUGGAAAGUUUUUCGGUGUAGGAUGAGCCCGCGGCCUAUCAGCUUGUUGGUGGGGUAGUGGCCUACCAAGGCGACGACGGGUAGCCGGCCUGGGAGGGUGACCGGCCACAUUGGGACUGAGAUACGGCCCAGACUCCUACGGGAGGCAGCAGUGGGGAAUAUUGCACAAUGGGCGGAAGCCUGAUGCAGCGACGCCGCGUGAGGGAUGACGGCCUUCGGGUUGUAAACCUCUUUCAGCAGGGACGAAGCGUAAGUGACGGUACCUGCAGAAGAAGCACCGGCUAACUACGUG
RNAcentral lists this ribosomal RNA (467 nucleotides) under uncultured bacterium. RNAcentral's name for it is "partial 16S ribosomal RNA". It matches the Rfam family "Bacterial small subunit ribosomal RNA", at positions 28 to 507 of the family's 1533-position model. The record is from RNAcentral.